Molecule: small nuclear RNA, 79 nt
Filed under: Homo sapiens (human)
Lineage: Eukaryota; Metazoa; Chordata; Mammalia; Primates; Hominidae
Description: partial ncRNA
Source: RNAcentral
AGAGAAUCACUUGAACCCAGGAUGGGGAAGUUGCAGUAAGCCAAGAUUGUGCCACUGUACUCCAGCCUGGGUGACAGAG